CAUGGAUCCAGACCAGCCUGUGCAUCCACGCAGUCUGGUCAGGAUCCAUGCUGUUCGCUUUUAAAGCCUAUUGGAAUUGGAGAAACUGUUAGCGAACAGCAUGGAUCCUGACCAGACUGCGCGGAUGCGCAGGCUGGUCUGGAUCCAUGCUGGUCGCACACCCACUAUGUUGGUUUUCCCAUGGCACGGCUCAUAUAUACAACAGUGAGGUUAAAUGUUACAAAUGGUGUGCUAUGUUGUUAUUGUCUGUUUAUUGUAAUGUGUGUGGGUUAUUUAUCUGUUGUUCCAUCAGGAACUAUAGGAGAUUAUUUUUGUCAUCCAUUUUAUAUUCUGAACAAGAUCUGUUUUAUGUGUAUUUAUAUAUAUCAUGGCUGUGAUCAUCCCAGUAGAUGUACUUAAAAUAUUGUCUACCUACCUUUGCAAAAUCAAAAAAAAAGUAAUAGUUUUGUUUGAAAUUCAAUAUGUAUCAUAAAUGAAGAUUUUCUGUGGAAAUGUAUGUGCAGUGCUUUAAUUGUCAGGUGACAAAGCAGAAAUUGAAUACCAUUGCCUUGAAUUAUAGACAAUUAGGCUCUUUAUUGGCAAAUGACCUUUAAUUGAAACCCAGUGCAUACAUAUUUAUUCAGGAAAUGACAUUUACUGAAUAUUGAUUAAUUAGGAGUGACAUUAACACGGAAAUGCAUGACAAGUAGUUGCUAAUAACAUUUACAGACAUGAGGAGUGAUAUUUACUUGCAAUAACAUAUUUGGCAGUUUAUUGAAUAUCAGAAAUGCAAUAAAUAAUAUUUACUGAAAUAUUAAUUAUGUCUCCCACACCACUGUGGUGGGAGACAUAUUGAUUUACUCCUGUCUGUCUGUGUGUCCUCCUGUGUGUGUGUGUGUGUGUCCGUCUGUCACAAAUCUUGUCCCCGCUCUAAGUCGAACGUUUCUCAUCCGAUCUUCACCAAACUUGAACAAAGUGUGUUUGCCAAUAAGUCCUCGACCAAGUUCGAUAACUUGCCAAAUCAACCCAGGCACUUCGGAAUUUUAGCCCUUGAAUUACCAAAAAUUGCUCAGGUCUUGGGGCAUAAAUGACUCAUAUACUACUAAUCCUGUGAAUAGUAGUAUAUGAGUCAUUUAUGCCCCAAGACCUAAUCAUGUCUGAUGAUUAGGCAGUUGAGGUCUUGGUGCAUGAUUGACUCAUAUACUACUGUUCAGAUGAUUAGGCAGUUGUGGGAGACAUGCGCUUUUCUCAAAAGCAGUUCAUAGUUGAGGUUUGACAUUAACAAGGAAAUGGCUGAAUAUUGGCAUUAAAAUGAAAGUACAUGUUAAUUGAGGAAUGACACCUCAUGUAAAUGUAUCACUUUUACUGAAUUUUAAUGUGUACUUAAAAAUAAAUUAAUUGAAAAGAGACAUUUACAGUGCUAAUUAUUGAAUAUUCACAUGUACUGAAAAUGAGUGGAGGAGCGAAUUUACUAUUAUGUAAUGCAAAAUAAUGACAUUUGUAGAAAAUCUAAAAUAAUUGAAAAGUGACAUUUACUGGAAUGAGUACAGUCCUACUUGCCACAACUACACCUGUCACAGAUUAUGGUCCUAUCAUUUUUGACUUCUCAUGUUUCCUUAGACAUAGCUAAUGUACCAUUAUAUCUUCUCAUUAUGUUAUCAUGUUGUGUCGAUAUCUUUAAAAUAUGACAGUACAUUCUGUCUUUACAUCAUUAUAUCAUUAUGUUGUGUCAUCAUGUCUCAUAUGGUAUCUUUGUAAUAUGACAAUACUUGCAAGUCUUUCACUAGCAUGUUUCUUUCAGGUAAAGACAUCUCACUCUUGUAUAUCAUAUCACAUUUAGGGAACAUUUUUCUCUAGUGGCUGUCAUGUGACAAGAUGGAACUAACUGCUAGAAGAUUCAGGGCUAGAAAUUCUGCAACCUAUGCUGUAGUUUUAGGGUCAUGUUUGUUGCAGUCUGGUAACCAAAGUUUAUUUUUGUAAGCAUGAUACUAAAAAACUUCAAAGUUCACUGCCGCAGCAUUUUACUUUCCCUAUGUCAGAGCGAUGUCUGGGGGUAUUAAUCACCUUGAGUGAUAGCUCUAGUUUCAGUUUAUCUUGCUAAUUCAGAAACUUGAAUAACUCAUGAAAAUUUUUGUUACCUCUACAGAUGUAUACAUGACUAUAAUGAUAACUCUAGGGUCCUGAGAUAUUUUCUAUUUCACUGUCCAGCAUCAAAAUAGUCUAGCACAUUGUCUGCUUGGACAGCUCAUUUUAUCCCAUAAUUAUGAUUGCCAAGGUACUAAGACCUUAUAUUAGGUAUUGGAUGGAUCAGUGCUUUAAUAAAGGGUUGGUGUUAUGUUCUCACUGAACUUGUUUUCUAAACCCUGCAUUGCAGUAUUAACUAAGAAUAUUAAAGCAAAAAUAUUGUCAUACCGUGUAGAAUACAUGUAAAAAAAACAAUAAAUUCUUGGUUGGUAUUUCACAGCCGAAAUAUUAGUAACAGCAUACAUUUAAGUCUGUUUUGGUUAUAUUUCAUAUGACAUGAAAAAGGAAUACAGUAGGUCACACAAGGAUUAAAAAAAAUGUUCUCUCUAUCCAGGGAUUAAAUAUCUAAAAAUAGAAGAUAUAUAUAGGAACUGCAUGAAUUGCACAAGUGAACCUCAGUGUUCUUUAAGCUAGCAGUGUUUCACUGUAUGUAAGAAUUACCAGCAGACAUAUAUUGUGAUCCAUUGCCAGUACAUUGAAAGAAAAAUGUCACCGGGAUGUGUUCAUUAUCAUCAAUAUUAUUCAUGUUGAUGAUUCAUCAUUUAAAUCAUUGCCUCCGGUAUGAAACUAUUGCAAUCUACGCUUGUAUGUGCAGUUACAUUAGUGCCAUACUGGUGCAAUGAUCUGUUAAAUAAUUAUUGUUCUUUGUUGUAUUUUUACAAUGUAAGUUGUUGAAGAAUUUCUACAGUUCAAAAUAAGUUUUGUUUCUUUGGUUACGUAUUUUGUAUCUCUAGUUUUAUAGCUUGUAUUUUAAUUGACAUUAUUUCUGUUAACUUCUUCAUGAAUUACAUUAAAAUUUGAAACGAUGACAUUGACAAUAACAAUUCUGUAUUAUUUCCAUAGGUACUUCAUGUUUCAUACUUUUGUAUGCUGAAUUUGAUUGGCAGGUUAUAAUGGAACUCGCCUAAUUAAGUUAAUGGUAUAAUUUUUAAUCUAAUUAUAGACUGUAUCAGACUCAGAAAUUUCGUAAUUUUUUAAUCCAGUAACAGAUGUAAAAAAUAAGAUAAUUUCAACUAUUUUACCAGUACAUGAAAUGUUUGAUGGCCUUCAGUAAAAUGGUAGAGCUAUUUAGCCAUUUGACUAAAUACUCAAAGUUAUUUUAAGUUCCUAAGUUGCCAUAGAAACAGUGCUCAGUGACCAUGACAACAACAUUAGAAAUCUGUCUCUGCUUUGCUUUUACUAUCCAUUUUACCAUAAUGAGUAUACAUCAAGUUGAAGUAACAGAAAAGUCUGUGACAUUAGCAUAACCUGUUGUCAAGGUUGCGACCCUUCCCAUUGUUUCAUUGCUCUUGUUUUAGGUUUUUCCAUUUGUCAAAGGUUGACAGACACCUAUGAUAAGACUUAAAGUAUACAUAUUGCCGAAAGUUUAUAAUUAUUUUCUGAUAUUAUGCAAGUUUUGAACACCACCAAAGUCAACUGUUCAUGUCUCCCUUCCUAGAUCUCAUUUCUAUAUUUGACACAUAUCUAAUAACUCAUUACACUCUGGAGAUGGUAGUGCCCCUCCCACAAGAAAGAUGAUAACUUGCACAGAUUAUAACCUGUAUAAAACUAAAGGUGCUAAAACAGGUAGAAAAUAAAUUCACUUCAAGCACGCACUUCUUUUUUUUUCCCAAAUACUUUUUAUUUUAAAAAUAAAUCAUAUAAUUUUUUUCAGUAUAAAUUUGCAAACACAUUAAAAUUUUUCAGUGGGUUUAAUUUGUAUGAAUGUUUUUUUUUUCUGUUGUAUUUUUUCUUCAUUUAUUAAGCUCACCAGAGCAUGAGUGUUUGGGCCCUCAUGGUCCUCUUGUUUUACAAAUACAUUUAUAAUAGCCAGACAUUUGUUGUCAAAACCAAGUUUAUAUCUUACACUGAAAAGUUAUUGCACUAAAUUCUUCUUGUUAUUUUAUUUGUAUACAGUUUUGUUUUGUUUUAUUAUAUAUAUAAUUAUUUUGAAGUGGGUAAUUUUUGUUUGUAUAGAACUUUUCCUAGGUUUAUUUUGCUGUAUUUAUUCUAAUAAAUGACUGUUGACAUAAAACUUUCCAGGAAGGAUAUGUUUGUUAGCGACUUCUUGCAAAUACAAGAAUAUUGACAGAACACUUACAUAUUGAUAGUGUUGAUCCAAAAGCCUGUAACUUCAGUUUAACAACUGAUAAACUGUAUCUGCAAAAUUUUCCUGUACAUUUCUGUCCAGUCGCCUUCUGAGUAGCAAAGCAAGUGAAUAGUAACAAAGUUAAGUUUGGCAGAUGAUUAAGAAUAUUUGAGCUGGAAAAAUCAAAGUUAAUGAUGUGAAGCACUGGGCCCAGUUGUUCAAAACUUUAACCGGCUGUUGAAUUAAUCGGCAGUUAACUUUUUAUCCAAAAUAAGCCUUGGUGGGAAACAUUAGCUUAAUGUUUAAUUCUACUGUAAAGACUUUUCAGUGUUCAUAAUACUUCACUCUUACAUUUGUUUUACCAAGUCUUCUAUAUUGUUGAAAUAUAAGUCUAAAAGUUAAUUGACCGUUGGCUUAAUUACCUGUUAAAAUUUCGAACAACUAGGCCCUGUUGGACAUAAAACACGAUUUAAAACUUAUUCUGAAAUUCUUUAGUCCAAAGAACUUGCUUUUGUUGUUAGAGAAAUAUGCUUCUUUGGUUUCCUGUGUUACCUUUUUGAAGUUUGGGUGAUUUAGAUCAACGAAGUUGACUUUACUGCUGUUGUUAAUGGUCCUGUUCCAUGUUGUUUUGAAGGAUAUUUAUUAGAAUAACUACAAACUACAGUAUAUUUGUUAUCCGAUUUCUUUGAGACUGGUGCAUUUAUUGUAUGAACCACAUGACAUGAAAAAACUUUGGAAAAAUUGUUAUUUUUCACAGUGACAAGAUUUCUACAUAAUGUAGUUGUUAGUGUAAUGAUACGUAGACAGACUCCUAUUAGUUGAUCGAACAUUACUUCGAAAUUCAUGGGUAAGCCAAUGAUAUUACUAAAAUAAUAAAUAGCUGAGGGGUUUAUUUUAUUUUAUGGACAUGUACUCAUUUUACCAAAAAUUAUACAGUGAAGCUGCACUGUGUCUUGUUUCUUCUCGUUAAAUGGUUCCAUUUUGUUUUGUUUUUAUAUGUUGUUUCGUUUAUGUUAUAAUAAUUAUUAAAUAUUCAUAUAUAUAUAUAUAUAUAUAUAUAUAUAUAUAUAUAUAUAUAUAUAUAUAUAUAUAUACUUUGAUUGUUAUAACUUUUUUCUCAAGAUAUGAACUGAUUUAUGUUAAUUUAAACUAUACUGAAACCUUUUGAUUCACAAAAAAGAGAGAGAAGUCAUAUUUUAGUUAUGAUAAUGCAGUAAAUGGUCACUGUGUGUCAGUGUGAUGUUAAACCCAACAAAAACAAGAAAAUAUUUUAUUCUAGGUCGGGUAACAUUCAUGGUUGCUUUAUUUUUGCUAAUACUCGUAAACAUGCAAAAAGAACAGUGUGAAAAUGAACUGGCAUUGUACCCAAGAAACAAAAUGAGGUUGGUUAUUUUUUUAUCCCUUACCCUGCUAAAUUUCUACAAAACUUGACCAUACCAUUAACUGUUAAAAGGGGUGCAUACCAAAAAGUUACUGACUAAAUGGCGAACUGUGCAGAUCAUGAUCAGACUGAACGGAUGUGCAGGCUGACCAUGAUCUGCACUGGUCGCAAAGGCAGAACCAAUUGUGUUCAGCAUGAUAACGGUUAAAAUGCAAGACUUCUGGUGAAAUAAAACUGCCAUGAAAAAUACGUAAUUCAUUCAGGGUUUGACGCGUGCAAACAUAAGGGUAGAGGUCUGCUUCAGUUCAUGCGAGAAUCAUUCAGUAGUUGAUGGUUAUAGCAACAGUAAUGCAUGUAUUGACUUCUUGGGUUAUGCUGGUUCCAAGUUUUCAAACCAGAGUGUGCUUGUGCAGUGUAUUACCGUGUUGUAAUUACUGGCUACACCAUUACACACAAUAACCAAAUUCCUCAACAGCAUCCUUGAUAGACAAAAUAUUUCAGAUAAACAGUCAUACUUAAUUUCAAGAGUGGUUACACAUUAAUGUUUACCUUACUACUUUAAGUACAUAUUAGCCAGUAAACAGAGGACUGCUUUAUACAUUGUAUUCAUACGCAAGUGUACAAACACAGGCACUCUUAUUUGUCCAUUAAAGCUGGUGUAUGUACAGCAGUACUGGUUUACAUACAGAAGUAUUUGUGUACAUUGGUGUAGAUACACAAGUACAUUUAUUCAUGUAUGACUGGUACAGGCACCCAAGUACUGGUAUAUGUACAUGGAAACUGGUAUUCAUACACUUACUAGUGUAAGUAUGGAAGCACUACUAUAUGUAUAGAAGAACUGGUAUUCAUACACCACUGGUAUAGGGACACAAGCACUCUCAAAUACUGUAUACAAAUGAAUGUUCUUUUUUUUAUAAUCCUUUAUAUAAUAUCUAACAGGUUAUGUUACUUUUGUUUAACCUUAUUCCUAUUGUGAUAAUUUGUACAGAUUUAAGAUUUUAUGUAUAUUCUUCAUGUACAUAUUACUGUUAUCUGUAUAUAGGCUCAUUUUAAGUAGAUAUUGUUUUUGCAUACAGUUUAUUAUUACAAAAAUGUUACUCUAUAAUACUGUUACUUUAUAUAUAAUACCAUAAACCUACUGUUAAGUCUUUUUGAACAAGUCAGUUUAGAAAUAAGUCGUCAUGAAGAAAAAAUAUGCCAAAUGUUUUAUAUCUGGUAGAAAACCAUACAUUAUAAAAUUUGUCAAUGUCUUUAUUUUUCUUGCACUGUAGAAAAUAAAUAAUAAAACUGAAAUGGUGUGUCUAUA
This is a long non-coding RNA of Mercenaria mercenaria, 6978 nucleotides long. RefSeq lists it as uncharacterized. The record is from RefSeq and is a predicted model, not a curated record. Lineage: Eukaryota; Metazoa; Mollusca; Bivalvia; Venerida; Veneridae. The transcript is spliced from 2 exons.